UGAUUUAAGAUACGAUUGAUAACAUGUACACAUUAUAAAUCCAUAUUCAAUAAAUCAAACAACUGUCCAUUUUUAUCAGUCUGCUGGUAUCCAUGGGGGUUCAUAGAGAUGUUCCUGCUACGCGUGAACCCUUUUCUUUAACAUUCUCAAUUAACAGACCGUUCCCAUACCCCGUCUGAUAUGAGCACCAAAUUACUAAAUCUCAAUACCUCGUCUGAUAUAAGGGUGAAACAGGUUGUCCCCAUACCCGGUCCGAUAUGAGCGCUAAAUUACCAAGUCUCAAUACCCCGUCUGGUAUGAGACAACGUUCACGGUAAGGUUCUCUAUUAUAUCCGGUCCAUCCACCAUCUUUCAAGAUAUUCAGUAAGGCUACCGUUUCAUUUACUCAAUUAAUCACACAA
Molecule: long non-coding RNA, 401 nt
Filed under: Carica papaya (papaya)
Lineage: Eukaryota; Viridiplantae; Streptophyta; Magnoliopsida; Brassicales; Caricaceae
Description: long non-coding RNA (CPAP_LNC012872)
Source: RNAcentral